AGCGUAGGUGGAACUUUAAGUCGGACUUAAAAGUGCGGGGCUCAACCCCGUGAUGGGUCCGAAACUGGAGUUCUUGAGUGUAGGAGAGGAAAGCGGAAUUCCCAGUGUAGCGGUGAAAUGCGUAGAUAUUGGGAGGAACACCAGUGGCGAAGGCGGCUUUCUGGACUAUAACUGACACUGAGGCUCGAAAGCCAGGGGAGUGAACGG
RNAcentral lists this ribosomal RNA (207 nucleotides) under uncultured Bacillota bacterium. RNAcentral describes it as "uncultured Firmicutes bacterium partial 16S ribosomal RNA". It matches the Rfam family "Bacterial small subunit ribosomal RNA", at positions 568 to 775 of the family's 1533-position model. Lineage: Bacteria; Bacillati; Bacillota. The record is from RNAcentral.